ACAAUUAUUCAUUCAAGAGCACACAUUAUUAAAGAUCAAUAGCACAAUAUAAAGAUCCCUUGAUUCAACUACAAGAUCAAAGCAUCAAAAUUUCCAAGUAUCUUUUGCAUAAUUGGUUGAUCAAGUAUUCAAUCGAGAGCACAUGAUACAAAGAUCAAAUUGAUUCCAUAAAUCUCUGGUUUCAACCUCAAAAUCAAAGCACAAAAGAUCAAGCACCAAAAAUAAUAAUACCUUCACCAAUAAGCCUUCAGAGUUUUAAGUUGGUAGAAAUGGCUAGAGAUCUAGUUGUUCCAGAAUGAGUUCGUUUUAGUAAUCCACGUGAAUGGAAAAAAGUUCAUAGUUCUAAGAAAGUGCAGGUUGCACAAUCGAAGAGGUUCCUUGGUGGUUUACAUGUUGGGUAGUCAAAGUCUACUAAAGUUCAACUAUGUUUAGACCAACUGCAAGUUAUCUUGUCUGGUGGAUCUUUUUAGCAAGGCCUGUUUGGUGGUUUUUGAUCCCUGUGAAGAGUUCAUCAAGGGGCUUUCCUUUGUUACCAUAUUUGGUGUUGAUUUAUUGUUAUGUUUUAAUGUUUAUAUUGCAUGAUUGACACUUAUAGUUUAAUUUGACAUUAAACUUAAUCAUCUAUAAUAAUAAAUAAGUGACUUAUUGCGUUUUAUUGAUUACUUAAUUUUGUACAUACACCUCUAGGUGCUGUUGGGUCCAAGUAUUUGAUCGAUUAUUUUUAUUCAAUUGAUAAUAGAGCAUAAUUCAAUCUGUGAGCCAAUUUUGUCUAGAUGAGUCAAUCAUUUUAUAUUCCUACAUAAUUUGACGAAAGUAAUUACACUUACUCGAAAGUUAAAGUGAGAGCCCUUUUAAUGUCAAUGGAUUAGCAGGUUUGGGUUAGUGUAGAAAGGAGUUGGACCACCUAUUUUUCUAGUUGUGUUGCCUAAAAUUUAUUUGCCAAUUAAUAGGAAUGUCAUGUGUAGUAAGUCUUUAUGCAAGUCAAUUCAUUACGCCUAGUAGUUAAUUUGCAUCUAAAUGAUAUUUUUCUUAGUAGUUGAGUGAUCGAAGUAGAAAUAAAUAAAUUGUAAAUGAAAUAGUAUACAUAUUCGUUUCCUUCAUGAUUUUUUGGCCAAUACAGUUUUUGAAAAUAAAAUAAAAUUAA
RNAcentral lists this long non-coding RNA (1144 nucleotides) under Olea europaea (common olive). RNAcentral describes it as "long non-coding RNA (OEUR_LNC002154)". The record is from RNAcentral. Lineage: Eukaryota; Viridiplantae; Streptophyta; Magnoliopsida; Lamiales; Oleaceae.